CCACGAGAAUCGUUUCCUAUGGGCGCAGACAUGUUUACUGAUGCAUCAUGGGCGAUGUAAAUUUGUUCUAAAAAUAAAUUAAUAAAACGAGAACAAAACGCUAAAAACAGAAAGAAUCAAGUAAUGUGAAAUUAAUAACAAUAAACCAGUUGUAAGGAAUAACCUUGUUGUCUACUAAAUGUUUUAAAACGGAGUUGCCGAAAAUAAAUCUGUGACCUGCUGCAAUCCGUCUGCAACUUUCGAGGGCUUCAAGAGUGGAUGAACGAACUGGGACACAGGCACCAAGGGCCACAGAUAUUCCACAGCCAAAAUGGCGGACAUGGAUUCCUUGCCGACUAGAUCGAGUGCAAGACUGAGGCAAAGACGUCAGAGAGCUGCAGCAGGAGACUCAGACGUAACAGACAAGAAAGAACAUCUAAAAUCCCCCGUGCCAAAGAUGAUGGAAGUGAACAUUCACGAUGAUAAUAUUGAUGUUACGUCCCCACACCAUCGCCUUCUUCACGAGGAUGGCGAGCAGCAGAGGACGUCGGAUGGAGAGGCGAAUGGUGGCACCAGCAUAAGAACCGCCCCUGAACCCAGUGAUACUGAAACAGUACUUAAUGAACAAGAAUUAAAGAAAGGACUUCUGGGUAAAGACUCUGACGAUGAUCUCCAUGAAAAAAAAUUGACCGGGAAAGAAGAGACAGAGUUCACAAUUCUUCUUCAAGUGUUGCUGCCCUAUAUCAUUGCAGGGUUUGGAACUGUGGCUGCUGGUAUGGUGUUGGAUAUUGUACAGCAUUGGUCUGUGUUUCACAAGGUCCCAGAGCUGUUUAUACUGGUGCCACCAUUACUGGGGUUGAAGGGAAACCUAGGAAUGACAUUGGCUUCCAGACUCUCAACACAGGUUAAUCUUGGUUACUUAGAUGAAGUAAAAGAACAGUGGAAGUCUAUAGGUGGUAAUACAGUGUUAACUCAGGGUCAGUCAAUAGUUACGGCUUUUGUAGCAUCUGUGCUAGCUGUAGCCAUGGGUUGGGUACCCGAAGGAAAGUUUAACAUCAACCAUGUCAUGCUGAUGGGGGCUAGUAGUAUACUCACCAACUGCUUAGCCUCACUUUUCUUAGGAAUUCUGAUGAUGCUGGUGGUACUGUACUCCAGGAAAUUGAAUAUCAACCCAGACAAUAUAGCAACACCUCUUUCGGCAAGCCUGGGUGAUCUGGUGACCAUUGUUCUCUUGGCAACCAGUAGCUCUUGGUUGUAUGAUCAGAUAGAAUUAAAUCCUUGGCUCUCUCCUGCCAUAGUAUUAGUAUCUGUUAUAGUCCUUACACCUAUGUGGUUAAUACUGGCCACAAAGUACAAAUACACCAGAGACGUGGUCUAUCAUGGCUGGACACCGGUCAUCUGUGCUGUGGCCAUAAGCAGUGUGGGUGGCCUGAUUUUAGACUAUGCUGUGACACAUUUUCAUGGCCUGGCUGUAUUUCAACCUGUGAUAAAUGGUGUGGGAGGUAACCUGGUGGCUGUUCAGGCCAGCAGACUGGCCACGUCGUUACAUCGGGUCAGUAAACCAGGGAUCAUGCCAGAAAAUGCGCCACGAGCAUGUGCGAAUCCUUGCACAGCUUUCUGUGGGAAAGAAGACCCAGAAGAAGGUCUCAAUCCCCCCGUGAAUAGCACAUGUGCCUAUUGUUUCCAGGACCUCAUUCAAGAACAGCCCGUGUGUUGCUUGGUUUGGUGGUACCUGGGCAUCUUCUCUUCAUGUGUGCCAUUGCUCUAGUGGGUGCAGGACAUACAACUAUCACUGCCAGGUUUACUGCUGUUUAUCUCCUGGCUGCAGUUAUACAGGUAAUCGUCCUGCUGUACCUUGCCAACUGGAUGGUGCACUUUAUGUGGAAGAGUGGAGAUGAUCCAGAUAACUUUGCUAUCCCGUACCUCA
Molecule: unclassified non-coding RNA, 1906 nt
Filed under: Lingula anatina
Lineage: Eukaryota; Metazoa; Brachiopoda; Lingulata; Lingulida; Lingulidae
Description: solute carrier family 41 member 1, transcript variant X6
Source: RNAcentral